GGUGCUUUGGAUGAGUGGUUUAGUCAACGGUCUGCAAAACCGACCACAGCGGUUCGAUUCCGCUAAGCACCUCA
RNAcentral lists this transfer RNA (74 nucleotides) under Caudoviricetes sp. RNAcentral's name for it is "tRNA-Cys". It matches the Rfam family "tRNA". From Rfam's summary of the family: Transfer RNA (tRNA) molecules are approximately 80 nucleotides in length. Their secondary structure includes four short double-helical elements and three loops (D, anti-codon, and T loops). Further hydrogen bonds mediate the characteristic L-shaped molecular structure. tRNAs have two regions of fundamental functional importance: the anti-codon, which is responsible for specific mRNA codon recognition, and the 3' end, to which the tRNAs corresponding amino acid is attached (by aminoacyl-tRNA synthetases). tRNAs cope with the degeneracy of the genetic code in two manners: having more than one tRNA (with a specific anti-codon) for a particular amino acid; and 'wobble' base-pairing, i.e. permitting non-standard base-pairing at the 3rd anti-codon position. The record is from RNAcentral. Lineage: Duplodnaviria; Heunggongvirae; Uroviricota; Caudoviricetes.